This 552-nucleotide ribosomal RNA is filed under the name Purpureocillium atypicola. Its description in RNAcentral is "eukaryotic LSU rRNA". The stretch from base 186 to 339 matches the Rfam family "5.8S ribosomal RNA". The record is from RNAcentral. Lineage: Eukaryota; Fungi; Ascomycota; Sordariomycetes; Hypocreales; Ophiocordycipitaceae.
AUACUCCCAAACCCCCUGACGAACCGUACCACAGUUGCCUCGGCGGGGACCGCCCCGGCGCCGGGCCUUCGCGGGCCCGGCGCCGGAUCCCAAGGCGCCCGCCGCAGGGACACCGCAAAACUCCUGCAUCGCGCCCCCUGCGGCGCUCUCUACUCUCUGAGUGUCACGAUGAGAAAAUGAGUCAAAACUUUCAACAACGGAUCUCUUGGUUCUGGCAUCGAUGAAGAACGCAGCGAAAUGCGAUAAGUAAUGUGAAUUGCAGAAUUCAGUGAACCAUCGAAUCUUUGAACGCACAUUGCGCCCGCCAGCACUCUGGCGGGCAUGCCUGUCCGAGCGUCAUUUCGACCCUCGGGGCCCCCGGGGCCCCGGCGUUGGGGGACGGCGGCACCGCCGCCCCCGAAAUGCAGUGGCGACCCCGCCGCGCCCCUCCCCUGCGCAGUAAGCAAACCUCGCACCGGGAGGCGCGGAGGCGGUCACGCCGUGAAACGAAACGCUCAAUCCGUAGAGUUGACCUCGGAUCAGGUAGGAGUACCCGCUGAACUUGGACAUAUC